UGUUGAGUUGCCGUUUGUCCAAUUUCUUUCAAUUUUUGCCUUGCUCGAUAUCGAUGUCAUUCGAAGAUACCCAAUCAUCGUCGCAUUGACCUAUCCCUUUUGUUUAUGGCCACGAAUUUGUCUGGGACCACUCGAGUUUGAUGCUUCCUUUCGGAGUUCAAGCUCGGGGGUCUGAACUUCUCAUCACCUUGAGGAAGCCAUCUUAUCCCAGGCCUGU
RNAcentral lists this long non-coding RNA (217 nucleotides) under Elaeis guineensis (African oil palm). Its description in RNAcentral is "long non-coding RNA (EGUI_LNC050627)". Lineage: Eukaryota; Viridiplantae; Streptophyta; Magnoliopsida; Arecales; Arecaceae. The record is from RNAcentral.